GGUUUCGUGGUAUACUUGGUUAUCACACCUGUCUAACAUACUAGUGGUCCUGUGUUCGAGCCCGGGCGAAAUCA
Choiromyces venosus 120613-1 is the source of this 74-nucleotide non-coding RNA. The record is from the annotation of a GenBank genome assembly. NCBI's taxonomy places the organism in Eukaryota, Fungi, Ascomycota, Pezizomycetes, Pezizales, Tuberaceae.